CCUACGGGAGGCUGCAGUGGGGAUUAUUGGACAAUGGGGGCAACCCUGAUCCAGCCAUGCCGCGUGUGUGAAGAAGGCCCUCGGGUUGUAAAGCACUUUCAGUGAGGAAGAACGCCUGGUGGUUAAUACCCAUCAGGAAAGACAUCACUCACAGAAGAAGCACCGGCUAACUCCGUGCCAGCAGCCGCGGUAAUACGGAGGGUGCGAGCGUUAAUCGGAAUUACUGGGCGUAAAGCGCGCGUAGGUGGCUUGAUAAGCCGGUUGUGAAAGCCCCGGGCUCAACCUGGGAACGGCAUCCGGAACUGUCAAGCUAGAGUGCAGGAGAGGAAGGUAGAAUUCCCGGUGUAGCGGUGAAAUGCGUAGAGAUCGGGAGGAAUACCAGUGGCGAAGGCGGCCUUCUGGACUGACACUGACACUGAGGUGCGAAAGCGUGGGUAGCAAACAGGAUUAGAUACCCUAGUAGUC
This 465-nucleotide ribosomal RNA is filed under the name Vreelandella stevensii. Its description in RNAcentral is "partial 16S ribosomal RNA". It matches the Rfam family "Bacterial small subunit ribosomal RNA", at positions 338 to 795 of the family's 1533-position model. The record is from RNAcentral. Lineage: Bacteria; Pseudomonadati; Pseudomonadota; Gammaproteobacteria; Oceanospirillales; Halomonadaceae.